CUGAAGAGGCGAUGAUGUCACAAUAGUGUUCAUUGGGUGAUUGGUGUGUGCUAGGCCCUGCUCUCUGUGUGGUAUUUGCUCCUUCAUAUUGUGACUAGCACCUUUUUACAGAUGUGGAAACUGAGGCCACCUCCACUCGAACAUAGGCACACAGCCCCGACAAGUCUGUCCCUGCCUGGAACGCCAGGCCUCAUUAUGUCAUCCAGGAUAACCUUGAACUCACUGUGUAGUCCAGGCUGGCCUUGGACUCCUGAUCCUCCUGCCUCAGCCUCUUGAGUGCUGGGGAUUUCAUUGUAUCACAUGCCUGGCUAUCACACAAGGAAUAUUGAUCUCAGCAUUACUCUAUUAAUGAAAUAUGAUGGCAAUAAGCAGAGACACGCACCUCUACCCCCCUGGGAGCUUAAUCUUCUGCUACAACAUUUGCAUUUGUAUGAAAAUGGAGGUGCUAAAAGACAGAAGUAACUGUUGAAAGUCACAAAACUGAUGAAAUAUAAGGCGAAGAGAGAAGUGCUGCGUGUGAUCUGCGCCUGCCUCGUCCAGGCCCUGGUGGGUGGUGGCAGUGUUUAACCCCGAAGGCCUGGGCCACCUCCUCUGAGCAGGAAGAGAUUGAGUCUCUCAAGAUUUUUUUAUUUCUCAGAAGGGAAGAUUAUUCUUUAUUCUUCUGUCCUGGGUGAAGAAAAGCCAGAAUUUGCUACCUUGGAGACAAUUAGUAUAAACAAGAGCAUCAUCAGCACGCUCAGUGCAUCGGAUCAGACCGUGGAGCUGUUGACAGAAGCUUGGCGAGGCUUGCCAGCUUUCCACAUGAAGCGCUGGCUUUCUUCUCCUACACCCCCUACCGCUUGUGUCUCUGCCAAUUGUAGCACAUCAGAGCGGCCAUUGAGAUAAUGACCGUGAAGUCUCAUGAUACACUUUGAUGAAGUGUAACAUUUUUUAAAGGAUUUUUGUCUGUGCCAAAAUGAUCGAGGCAGCUGACUAAAAAUCCCCCCAUCGAAAUCAAGGCUGAUGAACAGCGGGUAGAGGGAAGAGCCUCCCAGGGAAGAUGGGGUGGUUCGCAGCCUGCCAGUCUCGUCUGCGUUUGUGUGCACCACAGCUUCCUUUCCUUAAAAAGGUGUCUUUUGCUUUAGAUGAACCAGUGUCAGUUGCUGAUACCUCGACUUCCAGCACUUCACAUUAUUUCUAUGGGAUCCCAGAAAAUGUGGGGGACUGAGUCCUCUCUGGCGGUGCUCACUAAUGACUGAUAAAAUACAUUGUUAAUAACUUGCUAUUAAUUGGGGAAAGCAUGCUGGGCACUUCACAGGUUUUCAGGCAGAGACUAACCCUAGACUAAUGUGCAGGCAGCUUCGGAUUCUCUAGUUUGGCUAGGAUCAAGAGAAGGUUACACCAAAGCGGUUCUGAGCCAGUGGAAAUCAAAAUCAAGCUGCUAACAACAUCACGAAACUGACGGGCUUCUUUGGGAAGGAAAUCAUGUGUUUGACUUACUGCCUGAGCUGUCGUGACUACCAUUUCUGAGCACCUGCUGUAACGGGAUAGCACUGGGUGAGUUUGAUGUUCAGAGUCCCUGCCUCUCACAGCAGCUCACACAGGCAAGCAAUCCAAGGCCCAGAGGAGGAUGGCGAGAGCUGGAGAAGCUAAGCAACUUGGCCAAAGCCAAAGAGCCGGAAAGUAAGGCAGAAUCUGACUGUGCGCUCGCCGAGGGGAUGCUUCUUGAUGCCCGCUCAGCUGGAGAAGAGAAGACAAUUUUUGGUUGAGUUAAUAAAGGCAGGAGAACAAUGGACUUGCAGUUUGCCAUUCUUCUCCAACUUUGCUAGGAAGACCUUAGCUGCGAGGCAUCCUCUCCUGUACGUUAACAAACCUGUGCUCAGGAACUGAGUGUUUGAAAGUGUGAGAGGAGCUGCAGCUAGCCUGUCUCCAUCUGUGCGUUCUCCCCUUGCUCCUGUGAAAGCUCAGCAUGGGCCUCACUCUCAGGAGGACGUGGGUGCUGUAAAGUCUAGGACUUCUCAGGAUGGCAGCACAGAGGACAACUGUGCAUAAUUUCAGAGUAUCUCCAUUUUGCCAUUGUCACAGAACGUGCUGUAAUUUCCAUACGCCUGCCAUGCAUGUCUGCAUGAGUCCAUCUUUGUCCAGUGCGUGGAGCCUGCCAAGACUUUUUCCUGCUUGAGGAAUGGCUGAGGUGAGCAGACAGCCAAGUGCAGUGGCCACGGUGACAGCAGGCAAAGGGCCAGUGCUGCCAGCCUGGGCUCCUCCUUCCGUUUAUCGUCUUGUUGAGUGGAAGACAUUUGCCAGGAGGAAAACCCACACAUUCCAGGUAUAAUUGAUAGGGUGCUGUCAAGCAGAUGGUAUAAGUGGUUUAUUUUGAAGGAGGUUAUUACUGGCCACAAAACUACAAGUCAGCCAUUUGCAGGGAACCCUUAUAAAGGAAGCCCCUGUUUAUGGCGUCCACUCUCAAAAGCAUGGGACAGAGGUCUUACUGUACUUCUGCACCCAGCCACAUUUAAUCCCUUCAUAAGACCCCUUUGUAUGAGAGGCCACAGGAGAGGAAACUAACAUAGCACAUUGCAAACAGCUUUGAAGAAUGUCUUCUAUAAAGUCGUGCAGUUCUGAGAACAAAAUGGGGUCCCUCACAGUGUUAUGACUUGAGGUCUCCAGUGUGAGAAGUUUCCAGCAAGUUAUGAUAUGAAAAGCCUGAGGUUUUACUCUCACUAAGCCGUGGCAGACGAAAGCCAUUAAACUAUUUAUUCACUUAGCCUCCUCCUGUAAAUACAAGUACAUUAGAGAGAAACAGGUCCAAGCUUGGGGAAAUGAGUAGGUAACUCAUCAAAGCCAGGCAACGAGAAGCUGAAAACUCACGAUUACAGUAGGUGCGACAUGAGCAACAGAGAGGGCGAUGUGUCUCAUGGGGAAGGAGAUGCUCUGACCCAGGUGAAUUUUAGAUUUUCAAUUUCUGGGGAUGAGAAUAAAGGUUUUAACUUUAAAAACUGACCUGCCAACUUUUUUGCUUUUUGUUUUGUAUCUAGGACAUUGAGAAAAAAAUGACUAUUAUUUUCAACUUCAUCAUCUCAUAACACAGAGGACAAUAGGACAACAUGACAUUAAGAAAUAAGGCAGAAUCUCACAAAGAACUUUCUUGCUUGCUUGCUUGCUUUGAUGGUGUUGAGGAUCAGAUCUAGGGCUUACAUAAUAGGCAAAUGCUCUAAAAUUAGGCUAUAUCUCUAAGAUCUUUACUUUUCUAAUUUUUUUUUUUUUUUUUUAAUGUACUGGGGAUUGACUCCAGGGCCUUCCUACUAAGCUACA
Long non-coding RNA from Chinchilla lanigera (long-tailed chinchilla), 3291 nucleotides. RefSeq lists it as uncharacterized. The transcript has 9 exons. Lineage: Eukaryota; Metazoa; Chordata; Mammalia; Rodentia; Chinchillidae. The record is from RefSeq and is a predicted model, not a curated record.